Long non-coding RNA from Pipistrellus kuhlii (Kuhl's pipistrelle), 728 nucleotides. RefSeq lists it as uncharacterized. The transcript has 2 exons. Lineage: Eukaryota; Metazoa; Chordata; Mammalia; Chiroptera; Vespertilionidae. The record is from RefSeq and is a predicted model, not a curated record.
AUCCAUCAGUUGCCUCCUGCACACCCCCUGAUGGGGAUGUGCCCGCAAUGGAAGUACAUGCCCUUGACUGGAAUUGAACCUGGGACCAUUCAGUUUGCAGGCCGACACUCUAUCCGCUGAACUAGACCAGUUAGGGCUUGCCCUCCAAUUUGACAUUCAAUCACCUGUUACUUUUGAAGCAUGGUAGCAACCUUGCUUGGGUAAAAAUGGCUGUUAAACAUUUUAACCCUGCUGAUGUGGCUUCUGUAAUUAUUUGCUUGCUAAAAUACUAGGAAAGUUUCGCCAAAACCAUUUUAAUUUUCUGAAUUUAUAUAAGUCAUCCCAUUCGAUUGAACACUCCGUUGACUGUGGUUUGAAUAUCCCAUUGAUUUGGAUCUUUCUGGUCUUUUGAAACACAGGCCUCUGCACCUGGAGACCAGGACAGCACAAUUACUCUGAGCUGCCUCAGUGGCUCCAGAUAAUGUAUUUCCAUUGACUCAGGGGUCCCAAGACCCGAAACUACAAUUAAUCUUUGUAGAUAACUAACCUGUUCAAUCUAAGCUUCUGUAACAAACCGCUUUUUGCAAACCAAGGUCCUCACUCCAAACCUCGAGAUGGCAUCAAUACCUCUGUGAUAUUUGUCUAAGUCAGUCUGAUGUUUCAGCCAGGGGGGCCGGGCACUACGAGAUUUGGAGAGCAUUUGCCCCUCAGAGUCCUGGCUUUGAAAUAAAUGUGGCUCCUUAAUUCGA